UUACUCACUUUGGCAGCAAAUAAACUAACACUGGAAAUAUUUAGAGAUUAACAUAGACCCUUUGCAAGGAUGACACUCAAGUUCAUGAAAUGUUCCAUAUGUUU
Mastomys coucha (southern multimammate mouse) is the source of this 104-nucleotide small nuclear RNA. The record is from RefSeq and is a predicted model, not a curated record. Lineage: Eukaryota; Metazoa; Chordata; Mammalia; Rodentia; Muridae.